Molecule: transfer RNA, 76 nt
Filed under: Periweissella ghanensis
Lineage: Bacteria; Bacillati; Bacillota; Bacilli; Lactobacillales; Lactobacillaceae
Also listed under: 1 other name
Description: tRNA-Met
Rfam family: tRNA
About the family: Transfer RNA (tRNA) molecules are approximately 80 nucleotides in length. Their secondary structure includes four short double-helical elements and three loops (D, anti-codon, and T loops).
Source: RNAcentral
UCGCGGGAUGGAGCAGUUCGGUAGCUCGUCGGGCCCAUAACCCGAAGGUCGUUGGUUCAAAUCCAGCUCCCGCAAU